RNAcentral lists this small RNA (296 nucleotides) under Corynebacterium lowii. RNAcentral's name for it is "5' ureB small RNA". It matches the Rfam family "5' ureB small RNA". The record is from Rfam by way of RNAcentral. Lineage: Bacteria; Bacillati; Actinomycetota; Actinomycetes; Mycobacteriales; Corynebacteriaceae.
CCGUUUCAAUCUGAUCGGGGCUGAUGAAGUGAAUGUGGGUAUCAAUGCCCCCUGCGGUAAGAAUCUUGCCCUCUCCGGCGAUCACGUCGGUGGAGGUGCCAAUCGGAAUGGUCACAUCGUCCAUCAUGUCCGGGUUGCCCGAGUGCCCGAUUCCGCAGAUGUGCCCAUCGCGCACCGCCACAUCGGCCUUGUAGAUGCCGGUGUAAUCAAUCACCAGGGCGUUGGUUAUCACCAGAUCCGGCAUCUGGGCAUCGUCAUCGCGGCGAUGUUCGCCGUUUUGCCCCAUGCCCACGCGG